UUGAACGCUGGCGGCAUGCUUUACACAUGCAAGUCGAACGGUAACAGGCCUUCGGGUGCUGACGAGUGGCGAACGGGUGAGUAAUGCAUCGGAACGUGCCCAAUCGUGGGGGAUAACGUAGCGAAAGUUACGCUAAUACCGCAUACGCCCUGAGGGGGAAAGCAGGGGAUCUUCGGACCUUGUGCGAAUGGAGCGGCCGAUGUCAGAUUAGCUAGUUGGUGGGGUAAAGGCCCACCAAGGCGACGAUCUGUAGCGGGUCUGAGAGGAUGAUCCGCCACACUGGGACUGAGACACGGCCCAGACUCCUACGGGAGGCAGCAGUGGGGAAUUUUGGACAAUGGGCGCAAGCCUGAUCCAGCCAUGCCGCGUGCGGGACGAAGGCCUUCGGGUUGUAAACCGCUUUCAGCCGGAAAGAAAUCGGGCGCGUGAAUAGCGUGCCUGGAUGACGGUACUGUCAGAAGAAGCACCGGCUAACUACGU
This 480-nucleotide ribosomal RNA is filed under the name uncultured bacterium. RNAcentral's name for it is "bacterial SSU rRNA". It matches the Rfam family "Bacterial small subunit ribosomal RNA", at positions 29 to 506 of the family's 1533-position model. The record is from RNAcentral.